GCAUAUUGCAUCUCAAUGCAAAACGGCUGUAUCAUCUUCAACUGCAAGUACUUCAAAGAGUGACGUGAAGUCAGCAACGAGUGGUGAAGGUGGCAGCACUGGGAAGAAAUGGCCGACCGGGACGAAUGGCGCUAGUGUCGCAACGAAACGUGCUUUUUACGGUUCGACGAGUGAUGGUCACAUCCCUAGUAGCGAAGACGUGAUUGGCGAAUCGAGCGCAAUGGCGGCGAAGCAUUGUCUACUAGCUGUCAUGGCCGGCGAGGUAAACAAAACACAGCGGACGAUUACACCGAAAAAGAAGCCUGUGAAACGAGUUCAUGUGUUGGGAAAAGAUGUUAUAGCGUUGGUUGACUCUGGGUGCGAAGUUCUAGUGCAGACAUUGAAAAACGGGUGAACGACCUGGUGGAGUCAUACGUACCGCGUAAGACGAAGGAAGCGCCUGUCAAGUUGAAAAUUGUGCUAAAAGAUGACAUCCCUGUUGCACAACGACCCCGAAGACUGGCUCCAGCGGAACAAGAGGAGGUUGACCGACAAGUGAAUAAGUGGCUUGAAGACGGCGUGGUAAGGAGACUGAGGAUGAUGCUGUGGUUCGACUGGGUGAAGUAUUGGAGGUGGCUUCGCAAUAUGGCCUCGAGAUUAAUUGGAAAAAGUCGCAGCUUGUCCAACGACAAGUGGAGUACCUUGGACAUGUGAUCCAAGAUGGGCAGGUGCGGCCUUCACCUGAAAAGACGGAUGCGGUCGCUAGAUUCCCGGAGCCUACCAAUACCAAACAACUACAAAGCUUCAUAGGCCUCACAUCCUAUUUUAGGAAGUACAUACAAGAUUUUGCAAUGAUUGCCAAGCCGCUGACAGAUCUGUUAA
Molecule: long non-coding RNA, 861 nt
Organism: Cydia splendana
Lineage: Eukaryota; Metazoa; Arthropoda; Insecta; Lepidoptera; Tortricidae
Exons: 3
Source: RefSeq, a predicted model, not a curated record